AUGCGCGUGCGUGUGGGGCUGGCGGCCCUGCUGCUGGGCGGCUGCCUGCUGAUGGCGGGCCUGCAGGAGGCCCACGCGACGGCGGCGGAGGCGACCCAGCCGGAGACCACCACGGCGCGCGUGCUCAAGGUGACGGGUGCGUAUAUGCCGGAGCAGGCCAACCCCUACUCGCGCGGAUGCCACGCCAAAAAUGGCUGCCGCGGCUGA
This 207-nucleotide ribosomal RNA is filed under the name Triticum aestivum (bread wheat). RNAcentral's name for it is "partial small subunit ribosomal RNA". The record is from RNAcentral. Lineage: Eukaryota; Viridiplantae; Streptophyta; Magnoliopsida; Poales; Poaceae.